AUCUGGAUCGUCUAUUAGCCCCUGUGAAUCUCCACCGUUCGUUCGUGACUCUGUCCACCCACGCCACUCCCCGACCUUCCGCUCCACGCGACAACCUCCCUCUCGGUUCUCCCUCUGCCGCCGUCCCCCUGGCCCUGCUUGGCGGCGCCCUUCUUCCCUAGGCCGGCGAGCAGGCCCUCUUUCUCCCCCUGCCGAAGCUCUCACGACUCCCCCUCCAUGGCAGGCGUCACGCCCUUCCCUGUUGGCCGUGGACGCCGACGCCGUCCCCCAUCCAUGGCACUUUCCCCAUGCGCCACCCCCUCCGACGGCGACUGUGCUAACCGUGCCCGUCGUCCUCCAUACACGGUCGACCAUCUCUCCUCAAGCCGUCACAGCCAUAGCGAGUCGGGGCUGGGCUAGGUCGCCAGAGAGCCGUGCCUCUGCUCCCACCUCAAUGCCGGCGAGCUCGCCCUUAGCCGACGUGCUAUGGCCAGCUCCCUUCGACGGCCCAGCUACAGCUCGCCUGCGCCAAGUCCGAACGCCCCCUUUUCCCUCGUCAUCGUUCUGGAAAGAUAGCGCCAACUUCUCUCGUCAUCCUCACCAUCCGCCUGCGCAGGUCCCCCGCGGCGAACACCACCAUUUCCUGCAGCCCAUAGUCAGCGCUCCUCGCUGUUCUCCGCAAUGCCCUCAAACUGUUCGACAUAAUGUCCAAGAGAAACGCCAUGUCAAUGACAGCGUCGCCGAACCCCACUCUUGUCCAAGAGAAACGAUAUGUAAAGUAUUGAACCAUUUGGAGCAGAUGAUUGUUGUUCUUUUCUUGAGUACCAAGCACCAUAAAAGAGAAGGUGGGGCUGAGGGCAUUGUCACAUAUCAUUUAAAUGUACUGUAGCCAACUGAGUAAGCAAACGAAGAUGCCUUUGAUCAGCUUUGCACAGCAAUGGAACUCCACCGUUCUUGCGAUUGGAAAAUGGUCGGCUACUGCACCUUUCUUUCAUUUUUAUGCUUUUGCUUUUCAAGGCUGAUGUAUGCACCUUCGUAUCAGUUGAAGGACAUAUACAGGAAGCUGGGAAAACUUGCUGAUGAGCAGUGGCUUCUUAUCCUAAAAAUUACGAGCCCGUAGAGUAAGAACCAACUGCGGAUCUGAGGGCUGGCAAUGUUCAAGGCUUCCAGGAUCAUCAAGUUGGCCUUCCGAUGUAGUACAUGUACUGACAGGCGUCCACAUUCGACGAUGGUGCACGGUUCUGCCGUCGCGCUCCCUCCGCCUCCCCAUGCCCCGCUCCCGUGAUGCCCGCGCGUGCCCUCGCCUCCGCCGCCCUCGCGACGCUGCGCCCUCCCCCGCGAUGCCCGCGCCCUCCGUCCGCCGCGAGAUCCCCGCCCUUCCCUCAAACCCUGUCCUGCACCUCGUGCCUCCGCCUCCACUCGCGAUGCUCCUGCCCGCCCCACCGCCGUGACAACCGCCUUCGCAUCCGCCGCCAGAUCCCCGCCCUUCCCCCAAACCCUGCCCCCAUCGUCUCUGCAGAUCCGGCGUUCGCUCGGGUCUCCUUGCCUCGCCGGGGUCCCACCGCGAUGGUCGAGGAGCAUGGUGGGCGCGGGGAGGCGGGAACGAGCGGCGGAGGAGGUGAAGCUCGACAUCCGCAACAUGCUCAUGGCGCUCGAAUCCCUCAAGGAGGAGUCCCUCAAGAAGAAGAAGGGCGAUGCCGCGCAGCAGCAAGAGCCACCACAGAAGGAGAUGUCGAGUACGACGACGAUGACUCGAUGCGUCCCACCGCCGAGCCCGCCAAGGAGGAGGACAUCGAGGGAGCUGUGUGCAGCGCCCCCUGUCGUCGCGCCGUCAGGAAUACUACCCCCUCCCCCUCGCGCGACAUGGUGGAUGCACGGGCCAGUACCGGUGGUGAGGAUCCCACGGCCGUGGACGUCGUCGUGACACAACUAGCUCUGCACCGGCUGCGUCCACCUCUAGACUUUCUUGCAUCGCCUAUCGCCCUGCUGGAAGAUUGUAAAUACAGUGAACAUCAUCGAUGCCAAAAUCAGAGAUCGGAUGUUAAGGGGAACUGCUGUCGGGGCCUAGGUUCUCGGACUGGUGGUCGUGCGCGGGGCUGCGGUCCGCCUUCGACCUGCCCAUCGCGGCGGCGUAGCUGCAGAUCAAAGCAAAGCAGGGGCGAGCAAAGCAGGGCCGCCCAGAUCGAGACGUCGUCGAGGCCGAGCAGAGCUCCACACCUCCACCUAGGCCACCCGCUUGCCAGAGUGGAGGACGAGCUCCUCCUGUGCCUUCGCCAGCUAUGUGCUCCGUGCUCCGCCGCCUGUCUCCCUAGGCCACAGGGAGGUUGUGUGGGGGUUGCAUCUGACAACGCCAAGGCACCGUCGAGACCGAGCAGAGCUCUGUGCCUUCACCAGGUCGCCCACCCGUCCAAGUGGAGGACGAGCUCCUCCUCAACAGCCAGUAGGCCGAGCUCCUCCCCGCGGACCCACCCUCAGCCAAGAUCCAUAGCCCGCUCCGAGCCAGCGCGCCACGAGCUCCACCGAGGCACCGAUCCUAUCUCCGCCCC
RNAcentral lists this unclassified non-coding RNA (2525 nucleotides) under Zea mays. RNAcentral describes it as "misc RNA Zm00001eb049280". Lineage: Eukaryota; Viridiplantae; Streptophyta; Magnoliopsida; Poales; Poaceae. The record is from RNAcentral.